GAGGAAGGAGAAAGGGCGAGAGAAACAGGAAGAGAGGCAGAGAGACAAGGGAUGGAGGGAGGAAAAAAAGGAAAGAUGGAAGGGGAGGGAGGGUGGAGGGAUUAUGAUUUUUAAUCCUAAUUUGAUUACCGUGGGUGGAUGAGAAUUUGGCACAAAGCCUCCAGAAGAGGUGACGGAUGAGGGAGAAGUCAGACGAGCGUUUACAAGGCGCCGUAAGGGUGGGAGCAGUGGCGAGGGACGGAAACCCGAGUUCAGGCGUCAUCUGAAGAAAGGCAGGAACCUGAUCUAAAAUGGUCCCUGGCUCCUGUAAGUGUGCAUAUGUUGAUCGUCACUCAAGAGGCGUUCUGGGGGCAAGAAGUCAGGGCCAAAGGGCGGCUUUGCCCUUUCCAGGUCAAAACUGGGGAGAAGGCCGCUAAGGACCACUGGCUUCCAGGAGCGCGGGAACAUUUCCGGGGCGGCUCUGCCCCCUGCUGGAGAGGUCCCGUCCCCGUGUCCCCGUGGCGGUGAUCUCAGGCGUGGCGGGAGGGGUGCAGGCCGGGGACUUUCGGGAGCAGCGGCGGUGGAGCUUGACGGGGCUGGGACUUCUGGUCCUGGGGCGGGAUUCCAUAUUAACACGUGGGCCUCGGGAGAUUUUGGAGGCCCCGCCUGGCGUGAAUUGUUGGCAGAAGAGGAGGGGGAAGCACUGGCAGAACCGGGCAGAGUGUGGAGGACCCCGAAGCAAAGGCGGUGAGAGGGAACGGAAGGAAGGCCAGGGGGUAGGAGACCGGCCUGAGCGCGUGGCCCCUCCUGGGGGGCUGCUCGCAGGGACCAGUGAGGACGCCGGGUGCUGUCACGUGUGCUGCCGAUGGGACGCCUCUUUCCCGCUGCUCUGCCAGCCCUCAGUACCUGCUCUUGGCAGCUUCGCCUUCCUUCUCGUAGCCCUGUCUGUGUGACCUUCCCUUUCGGAGCAGUCACACGUUCUGUGAUGGGCUGCAGAGCCAGGCCGAGGAGUGCCGUGUGAGCACUGAAGGCCGAGUCCAGACCUCGCUGCUUCCACUAGACCAGGAACCUCCAGGUACCUCAGGGGCUUUGUCAUGUUGCAAAAAAAUGGGCAGGAAUUAAAACCCCUCCCUGUUUACUUCUCAGAUUGUUAUGAGAAUAAAUAUUUGAAAAUACUUUGUAAAUGAAAGUUUUCAGCUUUUGUAUUUUGAUUUUGUUUUCAAAACUACAAAAGGAAAUUUAUUUCAACAGCAAAAGAGAACAUUUACAUUCGAACACAGUGAUGAAAGGAUGUCCCGCGAAAGAAAAAAAAAAGCCCGUAACAUGAAGUUUUUUAUUUGAAUUUCUGAAACAAAAUAACUUGGGGAUUCUUGCCUUAGGAAAGGAAAGGGGGAACAGCACGACAGUUCUUCUUGCCAGAGCAUAGUCCUUGCAGCUUGGUUGUCUAGUAUCCGGCAUCAAUUCAUGACCUACCCUGAUCCUCAUACACUCCCAUCAUGGGCCUGGAGGGUUCAUCUCACCGUCUUCAGCACCAGCCUGCUUCCUGGGCCCCAAGAAGGAACCUCAGGGGAAGAGGUUUCCAGAAUUCUGUUUUAUUUGUUAUUCUUGUGGCCUGGAGAGAAUAUUAUUUCACUUAGAACUCCCUCCUGUUCCUUUUCCAUUCAUCGCAGAAAUGGGAAUCAAGGCCCUGACCGUUCUCUGAAGAUCACAAGGAGGAUAAACUUGCUUGCCCCUCUCCUUUGGGCAGGAUCCCAAGGGCCACGGCCCCUUGAUGCCCCUUAAUCUUGGCAUCAACAAGCCCAAAGUCUCUUGUGUGGCAUUGAAGGAACUACAGACCACAGAGGGUGGAGAGCAGGCUUCUCCUCGAGUCAGUGCAAGAGCAUUAAGACUUGGCUGUACCUUUACCCCAUCCUACCAGGUCUGAUACCCUUGCUCCUCUGUGAGGAUUUCCUGAAGAGAAAUUUACAGUGCGUCUUUCAUUCUUAAUCCUGGGAAAUGGUUUUGUUUGGUGAUGGCCAUUGACCAUGACUGCAGGGGGACUUUCAGAGUGAGUGAGUGUUUGCAUAUACAUUGGAAUUAGAAAGAACUUCCAGGUUCAGCCUCCUCCAUCAGUUAGGUAAAGAACUUUGAUCUGUGCCACACACGGGAUCAGUUCACCCAAAUCAACCCACUCCUAAUAAUGGGAACAAAAGUUGAUCACCCUAUAGCUUCCCUGCUCUUAGUGUGGCCAUGAGACUGGUGUAUUCAAAACUCCCAUUUAGUGCCACCUGGGUGACUCAGUCAGUUAAGCUUUUGACUCUUGAUUUCGGCUCAGGUCGUGAUCUCAUGGUUUGUGAGUUUGAGCCCCACAUUGGGCUCUGAACUGGCAGUACAGAGCCUGCUCGGGAAUCUCGGUCUCCCUCUCCCUCUGCCCCUCCUCUGCUAACAAAAAAUCUCUCUCUCUCAAAAAUAAAUAAACAUUAAAAAGAAAAAAAACCACCAAACAAAAAACCCUCCAAAAUUCCAUUCAAAACUCCCACACGUACUUCUCCACGCUCUUUUCCCCUUCCAGCUAUCUGGGACUGUCACUCCCCAGCAAGACCCUGGGAGCCAUGGGCUGGAGGAAGAGUGACUGUCCUUUCAUGACAAAGUAGAAGAGAGACACCCUACCUACCCCCUGUCCCUGCUGCAAGUGUGGCUAUUAAACUGCCUUACUGGAACUGGGAGAUCUUGCUGUUAAAUAUUUUAUGUGUGCCUUAGUUUACUCAUCUGUAAAACAGGAACGAAAUUUUUUACUUCACAAGGUUUUUAAACAAGUAAUAUGAGCGCUAAUGAAUGAUGGCCACCCAUUCUAGUGCCUGGCACGUAACAGAUGCUCACAAAAUCCUUGUUGAAUACAUAUCUUCAUUCCUGGAGGAUUGUUGUGAUAUUUCAAUGAAAUUGUCAUUUUGGAAACAGAGAGAUCAAGAUGGAAAAGCUAGUUGAUGGAAGUGAAAAGAUGAUAUUUCAGCCCCUUCCUCCCUCUGUUUUAAGAAGCUUGGACAAUCUGAGGAACUAGUCAUUUGUCCAGGGGAAUGGAGUAGCCUAUUGUAGGUAUCAUGGAAUCCGUAAUACAGGAGGAUGACAUCUGUUUAAUUUCAAGCCCCUUUUUAGUGUCUUCCCCAACCAAAGGACAAGAAUUUAUAGUCUCUGGGAUUGGUGUUUAAAUGAAGCAGCAGUCUAGGGGCACCUGGGUGGCUCAGUCGGUUGAGCGUCCAACUUUGACUCAGGUCAUUAUCUCACAGCUCGUGAGUUCGAGCCCUGCGUCGGGCUCUGUGCUGAUGGCUCAGAGCCUGGAGCCUGCUUCGGAUUCUGUGUCUCCCUCUCUCUCUGACCCUUCCCCACUUGCACUCUGUCUCUCUCUCAAAUAAAUAAACAUUAAAAAAAAUGAAGCAGCAGGUUUAUGUUUUUUUAAACAUAAAAAAAUGACAGUGAGGAUCAUAAACAGGAUCAAAAAUUCCUUGUACAGAUUUGUAUGGAUUUUUUUCUUUCUCUUUGAAAUAGAACUUCUUUCCUUCAGAGGACUUAGACAUCGUUAAAGAGUAACCUCAGGGAUCAGACAGACCUAGAUUUGAAUCCUGGGUAAAUUAGUUAACAUUCAGAUUAUCUGUUCCCUCGCUGUAAAAUUGGGGUUAAGUAUGCACCUCAUAGAGAUGUCCUGUUGCCAAAGGGAUUGCACAUAAAUUUGCCUGGCUCCUUCCUUUCCUUUGUCUUGCGAAGGUGCAUCUUGCUAAGACCCUCGGCUGGUUUGUGAAGCCACACUCGGUGGUGACCAGGAAUCUCCACAUCAUAUAAAGUUACUGCAGAGGACUCAGAGGGGUCGUGAGACUGCCCAGCCUGCAAAAGUCUAGGUUAUGCCUGCAGAGUAAAGAUCACAAAGUUCUGAGAAAGCUAUUUUUAAAUGGCUUCCUGCUGAAAGACCAGCUUUCUGGAAAGGUUUAUUUCCGGCCCAUUGUAGCUUUCCACCUGAUCUCCUACAAUCCUUCUGGUAUUUAUCCCCAUCUGCUGGUACAAUAUGAGAGACACUCCUUCCUCAGAGGCAGUCGGCUGUUGAUAGCCUUUUUGCUCAAGCACCACGCAGGGGCUCAGGCCAGCACUGAGAUCUGGGAGGAGAAAGAGGAAGUUUCUGGAACAGAAGAGAAACAGGGCUUCUUAUUAAAGAAGGGGAAUGUUAUUUUUAGUCUCGGCAUGAGUUGCUUUUAGUUGUUCCUCUGGGGAGUCAGCUUCUCUUUAAAGUGACUCUCUGGUAUGGGAGCUGUCAGGUUAGAGACCUGGAGAAUGUAACACUCCACACAGAGAACUUAAAAUAUCCACCGUUAUUUUACUCGUGAACCUGCUAUUUGCUCAGGGCUCCGCUGAACAGCUUGUCUCUACUUGAGCAGCACGGGCUAAGGCAGCUUGAAGGUUAGACGGGUGUGACGAAUGGCUGGUGACUGGAAUCGUCUCGAGGCUUCCUUCCCUGAUGCAUCUGCUGGUUGGUGCUGGCACUGGCUGUGAGCUCGAGUGAAAGCCAUUGGCUGAACACCUACAUGUGGCUUCUCCAUGUGGCCACUUGGCUCCCUCAGAGCAUGCUGACUGGGUUCCAAGAGGGGGCCUGGGCAGAAGCUGCAUUGCAUUUUCCUACCUAACCUCGGAAGUCACUUAGCAUCACUUCUACCCUUAUUGUAGGCCUCCAUUGACGGGGAAGGAGUGUAGGCCCCUCCCCUUAGUGGGAGGAGUGUCAGCAUCCACAACGUAAGACAGGAGACCUGUGUUGGCCUGUGGAGAAUGACUGUUUGCCACAGAGAGGAACGGGUGGAGGAAUGGAGGCAUGGGCUUGCUGGAAAAGUAAGGAGAGCAAGCUACUUUUUCUUUUACUUUCAAGUACAACUUUCAAACACUGGAAGAAUGGAUUGGAGCAUGUGGAGAAAUAACAAUGUAAGAGAAAACAGAAGUAGAAUUGAAAAAAUAUAUUUUCUUUAUUUGGGACACAUGGUGACACGAAGAACCCAAACUGGUUUUACACCAGACAACAAAGUCUUGCUUAGAAAGGCCUCCUCUAUUUCAAGAUUACUCAUCCAUGAUUUCUAGUAUUUCUGUGGUUUAACUUUUGAUAUAUUUGGAAAUCAUUUUGAUGAAAGGAGGGAACUCAGAGUUCAGAUUGACUUCUUCCAAGUGAUUAACCAGUUGGAACAUACACUUACUGAUUAACCAUCUUUUCCUUACUGAUUUGAGAUUUAUCACAUCCUAACUUCCUAUUUUGGGGUCUACUUCUGGACUCCAUUAUUUUAAUCUACUUUCAUAUCCUACGCUCAGAUAAUUCUCCAACCCGUGAGCUCUGGAACUAGACAGAUCUAAAUUCAGAAGCAGCUUAGCCACUGCCUACUUGAAUUCUUGGGCCUCAAUUUGCUUCUGUGUAAGUUGGGGAUAAUUGUAUAUAUCUGACUGGGUCAUUUUCAAGAUUGCAUGACUUCAUGUGUUGUGCAAAAGCGGAGACCAUUAGCUCCCAGCCCCGUGCAGGCUGGGCUCUCUGGAAGCCGGCUCUGAGAUGGAGCUUCGUGAGCGGGAUGUUUAUUUGGGGGUGCCCUAAGAUCAAGGCCUGUGGCUGGGCAGGGGAGGAGGCAGUAACUGGGCAGGGGGAAGACCUGUGUUGUGACGCGGACCCAAGCACCAGCCCAGCCAGCGAGAAGGGGCUCGAGCACAGACAGCCCUUCAAUACUGUCCUGGGCCGACCAGCAUUUGUACGCCGCAUCAAUCAGUGUUACUGGGGGCCAUCAGCGAAAUGAGUGUGACCUGGGUGAGGUGGCUCUCUGAGGCUGAAGCAACCCCCAAAGGAACAGACAGGUGGAAGCCUUUUGCUAAGUGUGUUCCCAGCGGCCGGGUGGACGUGUCCUUUGGUAAAGAGGCUUUCUUGGUUGCCUGUCACAGAGUUCACCACAGCCCCUCACUCAAAUGCUCUUCAUUUCUCCUCUCCCUUAUUUCCAAGUCUCUGAGUGAUGAACAGUUCGGCAGAGAUUCACGCUGGAAGGCUGCCUGUCCCGAGCCCUCUGGCAGGCGGCUGAAGUACUUUAUGCAUCACAGAGGCACUGGGAACGCACCGAGGUGUGAGGAGGAAUGAUUUUGCACGAGGUGGGGUAAGGUGAGGCGAUACAGCCUAAAUGAAACGAGCCAAGCAAGGAUUCGACAAACCCAGAGCUUUCAUCUCACCUUAAAACACUUCUCUUUUGAUCAUUUAUUUUUGUUGUUCAUUUCUGGGUCAAAAACUUGACUCUGAAGGGGAAUGUGAAUGUGAUAACCAGGCUGUGGAACGAUCCCGUGAUUACAGGGAAUCAUCUCAGAAAAGUAUUUCUGGAGAUCAAACAAGAUGAGGUCAUCAAUUUGCUUUUCUUUUUAUUAUAAAAGUAAAAUAAAAAAUAGCAUUUAUAAAUCCAACAUUUUUUCCUUUAAAGUAUUUGAUCUAAAAAACAUAUUUACAAUAGCAAAAUGCAGAAAAGGGGGAAAAUACCAUUUUCAGCACUGAUUGUAACCAUGUUUAAAUAUUGACAUGUACAGGUUCUUUUUUUCAAA
Long non-coding RNA from Acinonyx jubatus (cheetah), 6543 nucleotides. RefSeq lists it as uncharacterized. The transcript is spliced from 2 exons. The record is from RefSeq and is a predicted model, not a curated record. Lineage: Eukaryota; Metazoa; Chordata; Mammalia; Carnivora; Felidae.